This 253-nucleotide ribosomal RNA is filed under the name uncultured bacterium. Its description in RNAcentral is "partial 16S ribosomal RNA". It matches the Rfam family "Bacterial small subunit ribosomal RNA", at positions 524 to 776 of the family's 1533-position model. The record is from RNAcentral.
UACGGAGGGUGCGAGCGUUGUCCGGAAUCACUGGGCGUAAAGGGCGCGUAGGCGGCCUGAUAAGUAGGGGGUGAAAUCCUGCGGCUUAACCGCAGGGCUGCCUUCUAAACUGUCAGGCUUGAGCACAGUAGAGGCAGGUGGAAUUCCCGGUGUAGCGGUGGAAUGCGUAGAGAUCUCCAAGAACACCAGUUGCGAAGGCGGCCGACUGGACACAUAUUGACGCUGAGGCUCGAAAGCAUGGGGAGCAAACAGG